GAUGAACGCUGGCGGCGUGCUUAACACAUGCAAGUCGAACGAUGAAGCCCAGCUUGCUGGGUGGAUUAGUGGCGAACGGGUGAGUAACACGUGAGUAACCUGCCCUUAACUCUGGGAUAAGCCUGGGAAGCUGGGUCUAAUACCGGAUAGGAGCGUCCACCGCAUGGUGGGUGUUGGAAAGAUUUAUCGGUUUUGGAUGGACUCGCGGCCUAUCAGCUUGUUGGUGAGGUAAUGGCUCACCAAGGCGACGACGGGUAGCCGGCCUGAGAGGGUGACCGGCCACACUGGGACUGAGACACGGCCCAGACUCCUACGGGAGGCAGCAGUGGGGAAUAUUGCACAAUGGGCGCAAGCCUGAUGCAGCGACGCCGCGUGAGGGAUGACGGCCUUCGGGUUGUAAACCUUUUUCAGUAGGGAAGAAGCGAAAGUGACGGUACCUGCAGAAGAAGCACCGGCUAACUACGUG
Molecule: ribosomal RNA, 466 nt
Filed under: uncultured bacterium
Lineage: Bacteria
Description: partial 16S ribosomal RNA
Rfam family: Bacterial small subunit ribosomal RNA
Source: RNAcentral